ACAUCUGACAUACGACAUAUACUCGUAAUACGUAAAGACUGAACACGAAACUACAGGUCCGCACAUUUCACACGACUAAAAUACAAGCAUUGUAGAGCCCCCCCAUCAAUUUAAGCGACUAACACAAUUCAAGUGUAGAUCUGGUGCACACAAAACAGUUUAGUAACAGUCAACACAAAAAACUACAGGUAAACACAUUUCCUCCUGUAAUCGGAUCGGG
Long non-coding RNA from Drosophila persimilis, 220 nucleotides. RefSeq lists it as uncharacterized. The transcript is spliced from 3 exons. The record is from RefSeq and is a predicted model, not a curated record. Lineage: Eukaryota; Metazoa; Arthropoda; Insecta; Diptera; Drosophilidae.